ACUUUUUCUCUUUGUAAUCUUGGUGUGGAUUAGCAUACAUUAGUCUUCACUGUAAGGGCAAAGAGACAUUAAUUUCAAAAUUUAAACUCAGAACAAUCAAUAGAGAUCAA
RNAcentral lists this small nucleolar RNA (110 nucleotides) under Pediculus humanus corporis (human body louse). Lineage: Eukaryota; Metazoa; Arthropoda; Insecta; Psocodea; Pediculidae. The record is from RNAcentral.